Molecule: ribosomal RNA, 468 nt
Filed under: uncultured bacterium
Lineage: Bacteria
Description: partial 16S ribosomal RNA
Rfam family: Bacterial small subunit ribosomal RNA
Source: RNAcentral
GACGAACGCUGGCGGCGUGCUUAACACAUGCAAGUCGAACGGAAAGGCCCUGCUUUUGUGGGGUGCUCGAGUGGCGAACGGGUGAGUAACACGUGAGUAACCUGCCCUUGACUUUGGGAUAACUUCAGGAAACUGGGGCUAAUACCGGAUAGGAGCUCCUGCUGCAUGGUGGGGGUUGGAAAGUUUCGGCGGUUGGGGAUGGACUCGCGGCUUAUCAGCUUGUUGGUGGGGUAGUGGCUUACCAAGGCUUUGACGGGUAGCCGGCCUGAGAGGGUGACCGGCCACAUUGGGACUGAGAUAGGGACCAGACUCCUACGGGAGGCAGCAGUGGGGAAUAUUGCACAAUGGGCGGAAGCCUGAGGCAGCAACGCCGCGUGCGGGAUGACGGCCUUCGGGUUGUAAACCGCUUCCGCCUGUGACGAAGCGUGAGUGACGGUAAUGGGUAAAGAAGCACCGGCUAACUACGUG